GUUUCACCUGUAGUAUAU
RNAcentral lists this small nuclear RNA (18 nucleotides) under Arabidopsis thaliana (thale cress). RNAcentral's name for it is "snRNA_00347". Lineage: Eukaryota; Viridiplantae; Streptophyta; Magnoliopsida; Brassicales; Brassicaceae. The record is from RNAcentral.